UCAGAGCGUGGCUUAAAAUAGAAUAGCAUCUCCCUUACACCGAGAAGGUCCCCGUGCAAGUCGGGUCGCACU
RNAcentral lists this transfer RNA (72 nucleotides) under Acanthogobius flavimanus (yellowfin goby). RNAcentral's name for it is "tRNA-Val". The record is from RNAcentral. Lineage: Eukaryota; Metazoa; Chordata; Actinopteri; Gobiiformes; Gobiidae.